GGCUCAGAACGAACGCUGGCGGCGCGUUUAAGCAUGCAAGUCGAGCGGCAAGGGCCUUCGGGCCCCUAGAGCGGCGGACGGGUGAGUAACACGUGGACAAUCUGCCCCCCGGCCCGGGAUAGCCCAGGGAAACCUGGAUUAAUACCGGAUGAGACGGGACCCGCGAUGGCGGGAUCCGGGAAAGGCGCUGCGGCGCCGCCGGGGGAUGAGUCUGCGUCCCAUUAGCUAGACGGCGGGGUAACGGCCCACCGUGGCAACGAUGGGUAGCCGGCCUGAGAGGGUGGACGGCCACAUUGGAACUGAGACACGGUCCAGACUCCUACGGGAGGCAGCAGCUAAGAAUCUUCCGCAAUGGGCGAAAGCCUGACGGAGCGACGCCCGCGUGAACGAAGAAGGCCGUGAGGUUGUAAAGUUCUUUUCGGGAGGGGGAACAACCGUGGCAGGGAAUGGCCGCGGGAUGACGUGAAUCCCGGAAUAAGCCCCGGCUAACUACGUGCCAGCAGCGGC
RNAcentral lists this ribosomal RNA (507 nucleotides) under uncultured bacterium. RNAcentral's name for it is "bacterial SSU rRNA". It matches the Rfam family "Bacterial small subunit ribosomal RNA", at positions 21 to 518 of the family's 1533-position model. The record is from RNAcentral.